CUAGGAGAACUUAUGAAUCAUAAAAAAAUAUAAACACGAGAUUGGACCUCCAAGAGAUAGUGAGGAGUUGUGAUGGUACGUGUGGGAGGUAAAUAACCAAUAUAUUCAAGGUUAGUAGUAUAACUAGUUUAAACAACUUCCUAAUAAAUCCAUCCUCCAUUUGGAGACAGAAAAGAGAUGAUCCACUUUGGAAGCAUCUUCCUUUCCUCAUUCAGGAAAGACAUUAAAUUUUUCCUAAG
RNAcentral lists this long non-coding RNA (239 nucleotides) under Carica papaya (papaya). RNAcentral describes it as "long non-coding RNA (CPAP_LNC009445)". Lineage: Eukaryota; Viridiplantae; Streptophyta; Magnoliopsida; Brassicales; Caricaceae. The record is from RNAcentral.